RNAcentral lists this unclassified non-coding RNA (337 nucleotides) under soil metagenome. RNAcentral describes it as "partial contains 5.8S ribosomal RNA, internal transcribed spacer 2, and large subunit ribosomal RNA". The stretch from base 1 to 120 matches the Rfam family "5.8S ribosomal RNA", at positions 35 to 154 of the family's 154-position model. The record is from RNAcentral.
GAUGAAGAACGUAGCGAAAUGCGAUAAGUAAUGCGAAUUGCAGGAUUCAGUGAAUCAUCGAAUCUUUGAACGCACAUUGCGCCCCUUGGUAUUCCAUGGGGCAUGCCUGUUCGAGCGUCAUUUGUACCUUCAAGCUUUGCUUGGUGUUGGGUGUUUGUCUCGCCUCCGCGUGUAGACUCGCCUCAAAACAAUUGGCAGCCGGCGUAUUGAUUUCGGAGCGCAGUACAUCUCGCGCUUUGCACUCACAACGACGACGUCCAAAAGUACAUUUUUACACUCUUGACCUCGGAUCAGGUAGGGAUACCCGCUGAACUUAAGCAUAUCAAUAAGCGGAGGA